This 253-nucleotide ribosomal RNA is filed under the name uncultured bacterium. RNAcentral's name for it is "partial 16S ribosomal RNA". It matches the Rfam family "Bacterial small subunit ribosomal RNA", at positions 524 to 776 of the family's 1533-position model. The record is from RNAcentral.
GACGAACAGUGCGAACGAUGUUCGGAAUCACUGGGCUUAAAGGGUGCGUAGGCGGGUUGUCCAGUCUGGGGUGAAAUCCCACGGCUCAACCGUGGACUUGCCUCAGAUACUGACGACCUCGAGGGAGGUAGGGGCGAGCGGAACUGGGGGUGGAGCGGUGAAAUGCGUUGAUAUCCACAGGAACUCCGGUGGCGAAGGCGGCUCGCUGGACCUCUUCUGACGCUGAGGCACGAAAGCUAGGGGAGCAAACGGG